This 293-nucleotide ribosomal RNA is filed under the name uncultured prokaryote. RNAcentral's name for it is "partial 16S ribosomal RNA". It matches the Rfam family "Archaeal small subunit ribosomal RNA", at positions 455 to 747 of the family's 1478-position model. The record is from RNAcentral.
GUGUGAGCAGCCUCGGUAAUACCGGCAGCCCACUUGAUGGCCGAUCUUAUUGGGCCUAACGCGUCCGUAGCUGGCCACGCAAGUCCAUCGGGAAAUCCACCUGCCCAACAGGUGGGCGCCCGGUAGAAACUGCGUGGCUUGGGACCGGAAGGCGCGACGGGUACGUCCGGGGUAGGAGUGAAAUCCCGUAAUCCUGGACGGACCGCCGAUGGCGAAAGCACGUCGCGAGAACGGAUCCGACAGUGAGGGACGAAAGCCAGGGUCUCGAACCGGAUUAGAAAGCCCGGUAGUCC